CAGAAGGGGAUAACACUUGGAAACAGGUGCUAAUACCGUAUAACACUAUUUUCCGCAUGGAAGAAAGUUGAAAGGCGCUUUUGCGUCACUGAUGGAUGGACCCGCGGUGCAUUAGCUAGUUGGUGAGGUAACGGCUCACCAAGGCCACGAUGCAUAGCCGACCUGAGAGGGUGAUCGGCCACACUGGGACUGAGACACGGCCCAGACUCCUACGGGAGGCAGCAGUAGGGAAUCUUCGGCAAUGGACGAAAGUCUGACCGAGCAACGCCGCGUGAGUGAAGAAGGUUUUCGGAUCGUAAAACUCUGUUGUUAGAGAAGAACAAGGAUGAGAGUAGAACGUUCAUCCCUUGACGGUAUCUAACCAGAAAGCCACGGCUAACUACGUGCCAGCAGCCGCGGUAAUACGUAGGUGGCAAGCGUUGUCCGGAUUUAUUGGGCGUAAAGCGAGCGCAGGCGGUUUCUUAAGUCUGAUGUGAAAGCCCCCGGCUCAACCGGGGAGGGUCAUUGGAAACUGGGAGACUUGAGUGCAGAAGAGGAGAGUGGAAUUCCAUGUGUAGCGGUGAAAUGCGUAGAUAUAUGGAGGAACACCAGUGGCGAAGGCGGCUCUCUGGUCUGUAACUGACGCUGAGGCUCGAAAGCGUGGGGAGCGAACAGGAUUAGAUACCCUGGUAGUCCACGCCGUAAACGAUGAGUACUAAGUGUUGGAGGGUUUCCGCCCUUCAGUGCUGCAG
This 731-nucleotide ribosomal RNA is filed under the name uncultured bacterium. RNAcentral describes it as "bacterial SSU rRNA". It matches the Rfam family "Bacterial small subunit ribosomal RNA", at positions 134 to 851 of the family's 1533-position model. The record is from RNAcentral.